GAUGAACGCUGGCGGCGUGCCUAAUACAUGCAAGUCGAGCGAACGGACGAGAAGCUUGCUUCUCUGAUGUUAGCGGCGGACGGGUGAGUAACACGUGGAUAACCUACCUAUAAGACUGGGAUAACUUCGGGAAACCGGAGCUAAUACCGGAUGAUAUUUUGAACCGCAUGGUUCAAAAGUGAAAGACGGUCUUGCUGUCACUUAUAGAUGGAUCCGCGCUGCAUUAGCUAGUUGGUAAGGUAACGGCUUACCAAGGCAACGAUGCAUAGCCGACCUGAGAGGGUGAUCGGCCACACUGGAACUGAGACACGGUCCAGAAUCCUACGGGAGGCAGCAGUAGGGAAUCUUCCGCAAUGGGCGAAAGCCUGACGGAGCAACGCCGCGUGAGUGAUGAAGGUCUUCGGAUCGUAAAACUCUGUUAUUAGGGAAGAACAUAUGUGUAAGUAACUGUGCACAUCUUGACGGUACCUAAUCAGAAAGCCACGGCUAACUACGUG
RNAcentral lists this ribosomal RNA (497 nucleotides) under uncultured bacterium. RNAcentral's name for it is "partial 16S ribosomal RNA". It matches the Rfam family "Bacterial small subunit ribosomal RNA", at positions 28 to 507 of the family's 1533-position model. The record is from RNAcentral.